AUGAGGAGCUCUGCUGCCAUAGAUGCUCAUCGAUACGAGGCACUGGAAUACCAGUUUGAGACAACAAUCAAGAUCCAGGCCAAUAACUGGACGUUUCCACAAAGAAAUGUACCCCGACAAAGCAGCGUGAUGGCAACACAGCAAACUAUAGGAAAAGGCCAAGAAAGGGUAUCAGAGACUGAUUACAAGAUGUCAGACUGCCAUCGCAUCCACAUGAGAACACAGGUAGCUUUCCAUGCCUGCAUCAUGGCAUACAAAGGCACAGAAGUGCUCCAUUCCCCAGAGUGAGAAGAGACCUCCCAUUUUUAGAGAGAACCACCACGAAGGAGCAUGCAAUGAGUUCACAGCAUAGCUGUUGCACUUCAAGCUCACACCCUAUCUUACAGUGCUGUAACUUCUUCUUGCUCCAACAGCUACUUUUGAGAGUGAAUUGUGCAACAAGGAGGGUCUGUUUGCUGACUGUGUGAGAAGCAUCCCAAAUUUUUCAUCUCUCUGCUAACCAUGAACACUUAUCUGAUGGGAAAGGGCAGUCAGGCAGCUGCUCGCAGGCUGUCCAGCUCCACAAUGGCAAAGCCAGGGCUUGCUGCCUCCUGGAGCUGGCUGGAGGGGAACCUCACCCCAAAGUUUUUGGGGUGGCACCAUACAACCAUCAUCCCAUGGUGAACCUUCACUUUGGGAGCUGCGUUUGUUCUCCUUGAGAGAUGUGUGCUUCUGACAAUGAUGCUGGCACCCCACAUGGCAAAUGAAAAUUUGAUGGAUUUAUUAUGGAUGAAAAACAGUAGGGAAAAUGCACACUAGUGAGACAGGCAGCACAAAACUAGAUCCAGUGUCUUCAGCUGGCGUUUCCAAACAGGAUUAAGCUAAAUGGCAUAAAAUCAUCAGAUUAAACUGGAUGCAUACUAUAAACUAUACACAAGUACUACAUGCAUAAGUUACAUGCAGAUUCAAUGGCAUUGCAGGGAAGGAGUGCAAAAUGGAUGCAAGUGUAGAAUAGCUAUUAGGCUUUUAAAUUCCUCCUUUCUCUUUUUACACACUAGCAACCCCCUAAAUACCCCCUAAAUACCUCAUGUAGCCAAACUCAUAAACCCAGCACAUUUGUUAGAUUUUGUCAGACUUUCCCACUAGUCGAAAUUAUCUAAGUUUAAUAAACCUUAAUGAUAUCACUUUCUCCGUUUUCCC
Molecule: long non-coding RNA, 1179 nt
Filed under: Anser cygnoides (Swan goose)
Lineage: Eukaryota; Metazoa; Chordata; Aves; Anseriformes; Anatidae
Description: lncRNA (ENSACDG00005009013.1)
Source: RNAcentral